Molecule: RNA transcript, 3356 nt
Organism: Seriola aureovittata
Lineage: Eukaryota; Metazoa; Chordata; Actinopteri; Carangiformes; Carangidae
Gene: fancl
Gene name: FA complementation group L
Exons: 14
Source: RefSeq, a predicted model, not a curated record
CGACAUAUGUUUUUCCUGGAGGGAUGUGGAGUUUUAGCGCACUAUUUCAAACCUAGCUAAAACCUAGUCACGUAUUUGAGGAGUGAUAUUACUAGCAUUAGUUGAAGCACUUAAAUUCACGUUUGGUUCAGGUUACUGAGCUUUUUAAAAUCGUAACUUACUGCUAGCAUGUCAGGUUUGCUAACGUUAGCUAAGGAAGCAGAACUCCUCGUUUGACUGAAAGUUUAACGUUGAUAAGUUCCAUGGAGAGUUCAUUGGUAAAAGACAACCCAUUACUUUUACCUCUCAACAAGGAGAAAACUAUCUAUGACGGAUUUAUCACAGUACAGGAACAGGACCUCAGAUUGAGAAUUCAUCUGCCACCUGAUUGUCAGCUUAAAAAGGCCAGGUUGCACUGCAGUUGGCAGCUAAAACACCUGUUGCGUGGCUAUGAGCACAUAGUGAAGCAGAGGCUGCAGCAGUCGGCCGAUCUUGUCAGUUUCAUGCUGGAGCUGAAGACUGUGGUGGAAGUGGGUCUGAAGAGCCGUCCUGAUUGCAGCUCCAUUCCACCUCCACAGUAUUACUCGCAGCUCAUCUCUGAGAUGGAGACCCUUGGGUGGGACAAGCUGCUCUCCAUAGACACGGAGUUUCGAACACUGAGACUGAAGGCACAGGACUCCUCUGGAAGGCAGCACAUUCUCACCAUUAAACUCAAGUCUAAGCACCCUGCAGAGGCUCCCGAAUGCUCAGCUGACCUGCCGGUCCCUCUGGCCAUAACAUGGACACCACAGAGUACUCUGGAGCAGCUCCACAACCAGUUCCUGCUGGUUUUGGAUUCCCUGACAGAUUUCUGGGACGUCCUGGAUGAGAUCGACUGCAAGACCUGGAUUCUGGAGCCGGAGAAACCCAGCCGGUCCGACACCAUGAGGCGGAUCACCAUUGGAAACAACGUGUCCAUCAAAGUGGAGGUAGAUCCCAGACACCCUAAGAUGCUGCCUGAGUGCUGCCUGCUGGGAGCCGAGCACGUGGUGACGCCGCUGAGGAAUAAGCUGAACGCCAAUAUGCACAUGUGGAACCCGGACUCCAGCGUCUUGCACAACCUCCGGGAUGUUUUGGAGAUCGAAUUCCCGUCACCUGCCACCCACGAAAAAUCUGCUUUCAGCAUUGAGUGUGGGAUUUGUUACUCCUAUCGUCUUGAAGCUGCGAUCCCUGAUCAGGUGUGUAACGACCUUCGCUGUGGCCAACCCUUCCACCAGGCCUGUUUGUAUGAGGGUUUAAUUCAUGUGUCACAUGAUGGGGGCGGCAUGGUGGUGCAGCGGUUAGCACCGUCACCUCACAGCAUCAAGGUUCCCGACAUGCAGGUUAGGUUAAUGAAACUGUAAAUUGCCUGUGGGUGUGAAUGUGAGCCCUGUGAUAGACAGGUGACCUGUCCAGGGUGAACCCCACCUCUGGCUCCAGACGCCCCGCAGCUCUAACUGGAUAAACAGUACGGCUAAUGAAUGAAUGAAUCACAUAAUGGGUCGAUGUUGGAUGUUAUAUGUGUUUGAUAUGUAUAUAACAUCAAAUGUCAAUAUGAUUAUUUAACAUUAAUUUCAUAAUCCUGUGUAGAAGUAGAACUUGUGAUUUUACUGAAAUCUACUGAUUUGUCAUAUAAACAUUUCAAUACUUAUUCACUUCUGUAGGUAACUGAUCAAACCAGCUCAUUAAACUAGUUUGAUAAUAAAUGACAUGUUUAUAUUGAAGCGAAGGUAAAAGUGGAAUAUAUUUAAUACAUAUGAUGAGAAUGUAAAACUAACACAACAUAUGUCAAAGUGCUGUAAUGAAAUGACCAUGUGAUGUUCGCAGGUCAACUCUGGAACUGCAUCUCUGCAGAUAUAAAUAAAACAGUCGUACCUACGUUAACAAAGGGCUGGAGGUUACAUUUAAUAAAUCACUUGACCUCCCAGAAGAGUGCACAGACUUUCUGCUUUUAAGAGUUAAUUACUUCAUCACAGAUGCCUAGUGAUGGAUGUACACAUUACUCUCUGUGAGCUUACACGUUCCUUAAGCUUUAAUGCUGCAUCCACAUUUAAUAAAUCACCAGUUUAAACUAUUAAUUACUAAGAACUUCGGAAGGAUUUGAGCGCAGCUCAGAAGAGUCCUUAAAGAUCUUCACUCAAAGACUGGAUGCAUCCAGAGCUGAUUUAUUUGAUCCAACUGGCAUGAAAAAAGAGUCAGAUGCUGUGUUUUUAAUCAAGCAACCAUGUUCUAAAAAAUGACUGAUGUGGAUGUAGUUGUAGCAUCAUACUGCAAAAUGGAGACUUCAGUUUUCUUUACAACCACUCAUCUGGGUGACUUCAGACUUGGCGCCCCCCCUAACCCUAACUCCCCCUAACUCUAACAUAAACUGUGAUCUAACACAAAUUACAUAAAAAAAUCCUUCCAUUAUUUGGUGUAUUAUAAUAUUGAAAGGUACAUCUUUUGCUGGCGGGCGGCACGGUCGACAGUGGUCAGCACUGUCGCCUCACAGUGAGAAGGUUCUGGGCUGUGAAGUCAGCAGGUUCUCCCUGUGCGGGUUCUCUCUGGGUGCUCCGGCUUCCUCCCACAGUCCAGACACAUGCACAUUAGCUUAAUUGCUGACUGUAAAGUGCCCACAGGUGUGAAUGUGUGCAUAACUGGUUGUUUGUCUCUAUGUGUCAGCCCUGUGAUAGACUGGCGACCUCUCCAGGGUGUACCCCGCCCUCACCCAAUGUCAGCCCCCCCCCCCCGCCCGCAACCCUAUAACGAUGAGCGGUAUAGAUAAUGGAUGGAUGGAAGUUUUGAUUGCGCUUUGACAGAAGAAAACUAACUAAACUUGAAUGAACAUGAAUGAGCCACCAAAGAGUCUAAAGGAGGGGAACGCAAAGACAAAGAGAUUCAAACCUUCUUCAUUCUGACACCUAGCUACAUGAAACAGUAAUCUUAAAAUACCACAUAGAAAAGGGAACAAUUUCAAUAAGAUUCAAAUGAAUAAAAAAUAUAUACGACUAUAGAUAUUCAAUGAGCUCUUUUUAGAGCUGAGAAAGUUGAAGACAUGAAAGGUUGUGUGUAAAAGCUUCAAAUGCUUCAAUGUGUCAGAUAAUCUUGAAUAUACCAUUAAAGUGUGCAGUAAUAAGUGUACAUUGAAACAAGCGUUAUUAUCACUUGACACUGACACACCAGAUUCAAGGUAAUGAUGUGAUGAAGUAGUUCCUUUUCUUCCUUUUCCCUCAGUGGCUGCGAGCGCUGCCCUCCAGCAGGCAGAGCUUCAGCAUUGUUUUUGGAGAGUGUCCUUACUGCAGCAAGCCUAUCACAGUGAAAAUGUCAGCCCAGAAGUCCUGAGGAGUGGCUCUGGGUUCAUAUCAGCUCCAUCUUGCCCA